UACGUAGGGUGCAAGCGUUAAUCGGAAUUACUGGGCGUAAAGCGUGCGCAGGCGGUUUUGUAAGUCUGUCGUGAAAGCCCCGGGCUCAACCUGGGAAUUGCGAUGGAGACUGCAAGGCUUGAAUCUGGCAGAGGGGGGUAGAAUUCCACGUGUAGCAGUGAAAUGCGUAGAGAUGUGGAGGAACACCGAUGGCGAAGGCAGCCCCCUGGGUCAAGAUUGACACUCAUGCACGAAAGCGUGGGGAGCAAACAGG
RNAcentral lists this ribosomal RNA (253 nucleotides) under uncultured bacterium. RNAcentral describes it as "partial 16S ribosomal RNA". It matches the Rfam family "Bacterial small subunit ribosomal RNA", at positions 524 to 776 of the family's 1533-position model. The record is from RNAcentral.